RNAcentral lists this unclassified non-coding RNA (205 nucleotides) under fungal sp. RNAcentral's name for it is "partial internal transcribed spacer region". The stretch from base 1 to 46 matches the Rfam family "Eukaryotic small subunit ribosomal RNA", at positions 1786 to 1831 of the family's 1831-position model. The record is from RNAcentral. Lineage: Eukaryota; Fungi.
AAGUCGUAACAAGGUAACCGUAGGUGAACCUGCGGUUGGAUCAUUAACAAAAUCCAAUAAAAGAGCUAGGGGUACCAGCCUAGCUUUUUUAAACCACUGUGAACUGUUCAAUGUUGGUGCAAACCAGCAAUAUUUUACACAAGUCGUCUAUAAAAGUUUAUUUUAAAUUAAAAAACAACUUUUGGCAACGGAUCUCUAGGCUCUU